UCUAGAAGUUCACCAACUAGUUCCAUGACUUACAGGGAGGAGUCCUGGGGUCUGAGAGCACUCCCAGGGCAGCUCAUCUGCUGUGAGUCAAUGGAGGAGGCCCCGCAGCAAGGCCAGCCAAGCACAAGGGCGAAUGCGGCUCCUGCUCCUGGUUUUCUAGUUGUGAAACGUUGGGCGGGUUCACUGAACAGCUCUGGGCUUCAGCUUCCUCUUCUGAAAACUGACGACCUUAUUUAACCAUACAGCCUAAUCAGCAUCCUGAACAAGAGGUAUCCUCC
This is a long non-coding RNA of Lemur catta (Ring-tailed lemur), 278 nucleotides long. RefSeq lists it as uncharacterized. Lineage: Eukaryota; Metazoa; Chordata; Mammalia; Primates; Lemuridae. The record is from RefSeq and is a predicted model, not a curated record. The transcript is spliced from 3 exons.